Molecule: long non-coding RNA, 2022 nt
Organism: Myotis brandtii (Brandt's bat)
Lineage: Eukaryota; Metazoa; Chordata; Mammalia; Chiroptera; Vespertilionidae
Exons: 3
Source: RefSeq, a predicted model, not a curated record
AGGACCUGAAUAGACAUUUUUCAAAAAGACAUACCAAUGGCCAACAGGUAUAUAGAUAACAAAAGUGCUCAGGGGUCAGGUCUGAACCAGCUUGGGGAACGUUUCUGGAAGAGAUGACUUUUGGGUAGAAGUCUGCUAGGUGGGGAGUAGGAUAUAAGAAGGGGGGAGGAAAAUAUAAUUCCUGUAAAUCUGCAGUGUGUCAAAUGAAAUAAGGGCAUCUUUUCUUUGUUAAACUACUAAAAAAAUGCAUCUAAUAUGGCUUCAGGGAAUACAGAAGUGGUCAUUUGUAGCUGGAGAAAGGUGGCAGAUAAUGGAAAGUCCUGUAUAUUACACGGAGGAGUUUGGAUUUUAUCUAUCCAGGGCGAAAAAGGUGAAACUAUUAAUGAUGUUUAUAGUAUUUCUGUUUCAGAAAGAACAAUCUGGGGAAACAUAUGAAGGCUGAAUGAAAGAGAGACAAGAGAUGAGACUUUUGUUAAGAGGUAAGAAAUAGCAAGACUGAACUGGGGCAAGUGAAAACAAAAGAAGUUGCUGGCUAUUUUAGACCAGAGGACAGAAGGAUGCAGAUCAUAAGGGAGAAGAGUGUCUACAAUGUUUACUGAAACUGUCACCUCUUUCAAUUUUUAGUACAGAAAAUUGAUGAUAAGUGGGAGCCACCAACAAAUUCACAGAAUCAGUGACAGAUAAAUCUAAUCAUUAAAACCCAAACUUUCCAUUGAAUGAGAUGUACAGUGCUUAAAAACAAAUGCCAAAACAUGACUUUUAUUAUGUAAACUAUCAAAUGUUUAUUUACUUUCCGUUUCAAAUAUUUUCAAGUAAAAAAUAUGUACAAAAAUAUAUAUACAAAAGUUUAAUGAGCUGGAAGCAUUUCAAGCAUACUUAUACAUAAACACAAUUGAAAUUAAAUUCAAUGCAAAAUUGAGUGACAUCAUAUUGCACCAGAAUUUCUUCCAUACAAAACAUAUGCGUCAAGAGUUUCCACCAGAUGAAAUCACACUUAUUUCAUAGUAUCGUACCACUUACACAAAUAGCCCAUAAACACCAUCUGGCAGUGUGAUUUCUGCACCAGAACUCUCCCCAGAAGGAAAUCAUUAAGCUCUAAAAAAAUCCAUUUUAUUUCACAUAUCACAUGCUGGUAUAGGCAUCUGUGCCAGAGAACCCUAGAAACGCAACAUAAUCUACGAAUGAAAUUCUCUGUGCACCAUUUAUAUUUUUAUAGUUAAAUAUCUUAGUACUCCAAAUAUGAUUGGAAUGUAGGUGCAGAAAAGGAGUUUUGCUCCUUAAGAAUUUAUCAAUACAAGACAUUGCGUAAAAGUAUAAAAUGCACACAAUCCACUUUACCAAGUGUCCCUAUCACAAUGUCAAAGCGAAGGACCACAGAUGAGGACCACUUAGGAAACUGAGGCUCACUCCUCCACAGCUGCAUUUCUCUGACCCUGUAUUUUAGAUCACCAGGACAAAUCCACCAUUCCCCUGACCCCUACCAAUGAGGGGAAUGGUACAAGGUCAUGACAAAUACAUUCCAGACCCCAGCUAAGGGGUAUAGCUGGUCUAUAAAUUACAGUUUAAGCACAGAUCAAAGAGUUGGCUGCCAGCACAACCCACCAGAGUAACCCAACUACUAUUUCCCCACUGGGCUCAAUUGAUUCCAUUGGUGCAAAUUACUGACACUUGACAUAGGAUAUAAAAGGCAUUUAAAUACAUUCAUAUAUGUUACUUAAUGAUAUGUUAAUAUGAACACACAUACAGAAUUUUCUACUCCUUGAGAACUGAAAAAGAAGUUACUAUUACUAAGUCAAAUUUUAACACAAAACUCACUGAAACCAUUUUUAUAAAGUAAAUACAGAUAAAGUUAUAAUAAAAAGAUAUUAAUGAUUCAUCAUGAGAUGAAUUCUGAGUCAGUAACUAAAAACCAUCUCUACCAGUGCAUCACUACCAUCUAAUCCACUCUAUGGUAAGCAAAAACCAAGCUCUACAAAAUCUUGAGUAAAAUCUUAGUCAGAAAAGAAAAGCACACGUCUGAAC